This 609-nucleotide long non-coding RNA is filed under the name Gossypium barbadense (sea-island cotton). RNAcentral describes it as "long non-coding RNA (GBAR_LNC018234)". The record is from RNAcentral. Lineage: Eukaryota; Viridiplantae; Streptophyta; Magnoliopsida; Malvales; Malvaceae.
CCGCUCUCGGCCUUCGGCCGUUUCAAAUCCUAGCCCUCUGACUCCGGUUCCAACCGAAGCAAGCCUAGGACGUCGACGACGACACCGCAGGUAAGAAACCCCCCUUUUUAAACUUCUCUUUUUGUAAAGAAAAGGAAAAAUAAGCAUAAAAAAACCAAAAAAGAAUCGAAAUCACCUUUAGAUCUAAAAAACUUUCUUGUAUUCUCUGUAUUUUCAAUUUUUUUCAAUUUUUUCCCUCUUUUACAGAUUUGAUAGGCCUUUUAUAGGCCGAAAAUAAAGAAAAUAAAACAGUCUAAAUGUUGUUUUUGCUGUUUCUUCUCUCUGGGACUCUCUAAGUCCGUGUUUUCGCAGGUGACGUGCGUGGAGAGGGGUCGACCUCCGUGUUGUGCGGCGACUGGGCGUUAGGCGCGACACGAGGCUACUGGACGCGCCUGGAGGCUUGCUGCGGCGCUCCUUAGGGCUAGGGUUCUUUCUUUUAUUUUGCUUUGGGCCAGGGUUAUUUUGGGCUUAGGUUAGUUUUGUUGGGCCUGUAAUUGUUGGACUGUUCCUGGACCUGGGUCGAUUGGGCCCUAUUACAAUAUGAAUUGGAUUUUAAUUUUUAGACUUAUA